GAUGAACGCUAGCGGCAGGCCUAAUACAUGCAAGUCGGACGGGAUUCAGGAGCUUGCUUCUGAUGAGAGUGGCGCACGGGUGCGUAACACGUAUGUAACCUACCUUUAUCAGGGGGAUAGCCUCUCGAAAGAGAGAUUAAGCCCGCAUAAAAUCACAGCACAGCAUUGUGUAAUGAUCAAAUAUUUAUAGGAUAAAGAUGGGCAUGCGGAACAUUAGCUAGAUGGCGGGGUAACGGCCCACCAUGGCGACGAUGUUUAGGGGAUCUGAGAGGAUGGCCCCCCACACUGGUACUGAGACACGGACCAGACUCCUACGGGAGGGAGCAGUAAGGAAUAUUGAGCAAUGGGCGGAAGCCUGAACCAGCCAUGCCGCGUGCAGGAAGACGGCCCUACGGGUUGUAAACUGCUUUUAUACGGGAAUAAACCCAGAUACGUGUAUCUGGCUGAAUGUACUGUAAGAAUAAGGAUCGGCUAACUCCGUG
RNAcentral lists this ribosomal RNA (482 nucleotides) under uncultured bacterium. RNAcentral's name for it is "partial 16S ribosomal RNA". It matches the Rfam family "Bacterial small subunit ribosomal RNA", at positions 28 to 507 of the family's 1533-position model. The record is from RNAcentral.